Molecule: ribosomal RNA, 536 nt
Filed under: Bifidobacterium breve
Lineage: Bacteria; Bacillati; Actinomycetota; Actinomycetes; Bifidobacteriales; Bifidobacteriaceae
Description: bacterial SSU rRNA
Rfam family: Bacterial small subunit ribosomal RNA
Source: RNAcentral
UAAUGCCGGAUGCUCCAUCACACCGCAUGGUGUGUUGGGAAAGCCUUUGCGGCAUGGGAUGGGGUCGCGUCCUAUCAGCUUGAUGGCGGGGUAACGGCCCACCAUGGCUUCGACGGGUAGCCGGCCUGAGAGGGCGACCGGCCACAUUGGGACUGAGAUACGGCCCAGACUCCUACGGGAGGCAGCAGUGGGGAAUAUUGCACAAUGGGCGCAAGCCUGAUGCAGCGACGCCGCGUGAGGGAUGGAGGCCUUCGGGUUGUAAACCUCUUUUGUUAGGGAGCAAGGCAUUUUGUGUUGAGUGUACCUUUCGAAUAAGCACCGGCUAACUACGUGCCAGCAGCCGCGGUAAUACGUAGGGUGCAAGCGUUAUCCGGAAUUAUUGGGCGUAAAGGGCUCGUAGGCGGUUCGUCGCGUCCGGUGUGAAAGUCCAUCGCUUAACGGUGGAUCCGCGCCGGGUACGGGCGGGCUUGAGUGCGGUAGGGGAGACUGGAAUUCCCGGUGUAACGGUGGAAUGUGUAGAUAUCGGAAAAGAACAC